This 326-nucleotide long non-coding RNA is filed under the name Elaeis guineensis (African oil palm). Its description in RNAcentral is "long non-coding RNA (EGUI_LNC058593)". The record is from RNAcentral. Lineage: Eukaryota; Viridiplantae; Streptophyta; Magnoliopsida; Arecales; Arecaceae.
CUACUACAGUCUGUCUCGAGAGCCUUAAACCUUCUGGACACUAUCAGACUAUCACUUGCAGCUCAGUCUAUUGCUUCGCAGCCUUCUGGAUCCUCUCAUCCAUCCACUCGUGCCGGCACCUCCACUCGUGGCAGAGACAGACAGGGUCGAGGUCGAGCUCUUGGUCGUGAUCCUUCAUCUCCUUACCCCAUUUCUGAUUCAUCUGACUCUGAUCCAUCCAGUCAUGAUUUCUACUAGAUCCUGAGUAGUUAGUCUCUCCUUUAGUUUUAGUCUAGGAUCUAUCUUUUGGGCCAUGUAAUGAUGUUGACUGAUUGACUUUUGUAUUU